CACGUAUCCAACCUGCCGAUAACUCCGGAAUAGCCUUUCGAAAGAAAGAUUAAUACCGGAUGGCAUACGAAUAUCGCAUGAUAUUUUUAUUAAAGAAUUUCGGUUAUCGAUGGGGAUGCGUUCCAUUAGUUUGUUGGCGGGGUAACGGCCCACCAAGACUACGAUGGAUAGGGGUUCUGAGAGGAAGGUCCCCCACAUUGGAACUGAGACACGGUCCAAACUCCUACGGGAGGCCAGCAUUGAGGAAUAUUGGUCAAUGGGCGAGAGCCUGAACCAGCCAAGUAGCGUGAAGGAUGAAGGCUCUAUGGGUCGUAAACUUCUUUUAUAUGGGAAUAAAGUAUUCCACGUGUGGAAUUUUGUAUGUACCAUAUGAAUAAGGAUCGGCUAACUCCGUGCCAGCAGCCGCGGUAAUACGGAGGAUCCGAGCGUUAUCCGGAUCCAUUGGGUUUAAAGGGAGCGUAGGUGGAUUGUUAAGUCAGUUGUGAAAGUUUGCGGCUCAACCGUAAAAUUGCAGUUGAAACUGGCAGUCUUGAGUACAGUAGAGGUGGGCGGAAUUCGUGGUG
This 563-nucleotide ribosomal RNA is filed under the name uncultured Bacteroidales bacterium. RNAcentral describes it as "bacterial SSU rRNA". It matches the Rfam family "Bacterial small subunit ribosomal RNA", at positions 114 to 675 of the family's 1533-position model. Lineage: Bacteria; Pseudomonadati; Bacteroidota; Bacteroidia; Bacteroidales. The record is from RNAcentral.